UCGAGAAUCUUCGGCAAUGGACGAAAGUCUGACCGAGCGACGCCGCGUGCGGGACGAAGGCCUUCGGGUUGUAAACCGCUGUCAGAGGGGAGCAAAUUUUGAGCAAUCCUCAGAGGAAGCACAGGCUAAGUUCGUGCCAGCAGCCGCGGUAAUACGAACUGUGCGAACGUUAUUCGGAAUCACUGGGCUUAAAGGGUGCGUAGGCGGCUAUGUAGGUCUGAUGUGAAAUCCCACGGCUCAACCGUGGAACUGCGUUGGAAACCAUAUAGCUUGAGGGAGACAGAGGAAAGCGGAACUGAUGGUGGAGCGGUGAAAUGCGCUGAGAUCAUCAGGAACACCGGUGGCGAAAGCGGCUUUCUGGGUCUCUUCUGACGCUGAGGCACGAAAGCUAGGGGAGCGAACGGGAUUAGAUACCCCCGUAGUCC
Molecule: ribosomal RNA, 425 nt
Filed under: uncultured prokaryote
Description: bacterial SSU rRNA
Rfam family: Bacterial small subunit ribosomal RNA
Source: RNAcentral